GUUAUGUGCGGGCGCGGAGGCGCGGUAAUGCGUGUGGUGCGAUGGUUGUGCGGAUUUAGUGGGCGUAAAGGGCGUGUAGGCGGCCCGGUAGGUCAGCUGUGAAAACUCGAGGCUUAGCCUCGAGACGUCGGCGGAAACCAGCUGGCUAGAGUCCGGAAGAGGAGAGUGGAAUUCCUGGUGUAGCGGUGAAAUGCGCAGAUAUCAGGAAGAACACCCGUGGCGAAGGCGGCUCUCUGGGACGGUACUGACGCUGAGACGCGAAAGCGUGGGGAGCGAACAGGAUUAGAUACCCGUGUAGUC
RNAcentral lists this ribosomal RNA (300 nucleotides) under uncultured Bacillus sp. Its description in RNAcentral is "bacterial SSU rRNA". It matches the Rfam family "Bacterial small subunit ribosomal RNA", at positions 496 to 795 of the family's 1533-position model. The record is from RNAcentral. Lineage: Bacteria; Bacillati; Bacillota; Bacilli; Caryophanales; Bacillaceae.